RNAcentral lists this small nuclear RNA (232 nucleotides) under Neotoma lepida (desert woodrat). Its description in RNAcentral is "7SK RNA". It matches the Rfam family "7SK RNA". From Rfam's summary of the family: 7SK was discovered as an abundant small nuclear RNA in the mid-70s but a possible function has only recently been suggested. The record is from Rfam by way of RNAcentral. Lineage: Eukaryota; Metazoa; Chordata; Mammalia; Rodentia; Cricetidae.
GGGCUUGAGAGUGAUCUANCUGUGACAUCUGUCACCCCAUUAAUUUCCAGAAUGGAUUCAGAAUACCAGUUGACUGGGAGAGUGUCAUGUUUCUCACCCACUACUCCAUAUGUACACAAGCAGCUGCGCUCUCCUGUUAGAACCUCCAAAUAAGCUCUCAAGGAAGAUUUUAUAAUAUAUUUUGUCAUCAUUAACAGUAAUAAAUUGCUGCUUUCACAUCCUAAGUUAAUAU